This 253-nucleotide ribosomal RNA is filed under the name uncultured bacterium. RNAcentral describes it as "partial 16S ribosomal RNA". It matches the Rfam family "Bacterial small subunit ribosomal RNA", at positions 524 to 776 of the family's 1533-position model. The record is from RNAcentral.
UACGUAGGGUGCAAGCGUUGUCCGGAAUUAUUGGGCGUAAAGAGCUCGUAGGCGGUUUGUUGCGUCGGCUGUGAAAUCCCGAGGCUCAACCUCGGGUCUGCAGUCGAUACGGGCAGGCUAGAGUUCGGUAGGGGAGACUGGAAUUCCUGGUGUAGCGGUGAAAUGCGCAGAUAUCAGGAGGAACACCGGUGGCGAAGGCGGGUCUUUGGGCCGAUACUGACGCUGAGGAGCGAAAGCGUGGGGAGCGAACAGG